CUAAGGGGCGGUUAAAGCAUUGCAAGUCGAGCGGUAGCACAGGGGCAGCUUGCUCCCUGUGGUGACGAGCGGCGGACGGGUGAGUAAUGUCUGGGAAACUGCCUGAUGGAGGGGGAUAACUACUGGAAACGGUAGCUAAUACCGCACAACGUCACAAGACCAAAGAGGGGGACCUUCGGGCCUCUUGCCAUCACAUGUGCCCAGAUGGGAUUAGCUAGUAGGUGGGGUAAUGGCUCACCUAGGCGACGAUCCCUAGCUGGUCUGAGAGGAUGACCACCCACACUGGAACUGAGACACGGUCCAGACUCCUACGGGAGGCAGCAGUGGGGAAUAUUGCACAAUGGGCGCAAGCCUGAUGCAGCCAUGCCGCGUGUGUGAACAACGCCUUCGGGUUGUAAAGCACUUUCAGCGAGGAGGAAGGUGGUGAGCUUAAUACGCUCAUCAAUUGACGUUACUCGCAGAAGAAGCACCGGCUAACUCCGUGCCAGCAGCCGCGGUAAUACGGAGGGUGCAAGCGUUAAUCGGAAUUACUGGGCGUAAAGCGCACGCAGGCGGUUUGUUAAGUCAGAUGUGAAAUCCCCGGGCUCAACCUGGGAACUGCAUUUGAGACUGGCAAGCUAGAGUCUCGUAGAGGGGGGUAGAAUUCCAGGUGUAGCGGUGAAAUGCGUAGAGAUCUGGAGGAAUACCGGUGGCGAACGCCGCCCCCUGGACUAACACUGACGCUCAGGUGCGAUAGCGUGGAGAGCAAACAGGAUUAGAUACCCUGGUAGUCCACGCUGUAGACGAUGUCGAUUUGGAGGUUGUGCCCUUGAGGCGUGGCUUCCGGAGCUAACGCGUUAAAUCGACCGCCUGGAGAGUACCGCCGCAAGGUUACAACUCAUAUGAAUUGACCGGGCCCGCACAAGCGGUGGAGCAUGUGGUUUAAUUCAAUGCAACGCACAUAACCUUACCUAGUCUUGACAUCACAGAACUUAC
RNAcentral lists this ribosomal RNA (975 nucleotides) under Serratia nematodiphila. RNAcentral's name for it is "bacterial SSU rRNA". It matches the Rfam family "Bacterial small subunit ribosomal RNA", at positions 36 to 999 of the family's 1533-position model. The record is from RNAcentral. Lineage: Bacteria; Pseudomonadati; Pseudomonadota; Gammaproteobacteria; Enterobacterales; Yersiniaceae.